Oncorhynchus mykiss (rainbow trout) is the source of this 640-nucleotide long non-coding RNA. RefSeq lists it as uncharacterized. Lineage: Eukaryota; Metazoa; Chordata; Actinopteri; Salmoniformes; Salmonidae. The record is from RefSeq and is a predicted model, not a curated record.
CCUCUCUCUCUCUAUAUGCCUCUCUGUCUCUGCAACUCUAUCUCCCUCUCCCUCUCUCUCUCACUCUAAAGGAGAGGACACUACCUUAGACUGUGUAUGUGUAUGCGUGCAUGUGUGUGUGUGUACCCUUUUGUGCUAAAAUAAAGGUGGCAUCUGUGGUUCUGAUGCCAUGUCCCUCUGACUGCGUGGUGGUGAGGAGCACAGUCACCUUGGCUUGGAGUUGGCGGCAGUUGCAUAUCAGUCGGUCAUCAGGGCCAGCUGUUCUUCAGGCCUCCCAUGCUCCCCUGGUUGUUCCACCCAUCUGCCCCCCUGAAGGGGAACAUCCACGGCUUCUUUAAAAACACACAAAUACACAACAACUAAGUAAACACCAUCUGAGAGAAUACCUGAUUGGCUCCCUUGGCAUUUUGAGCUGCUUUAUUUGAUUGGCUGCUUAUUACAUUUUGGUAUACAGUAAAAUAUUGUUUAUUGUUGUGUAAAUGUACCUAAAUGUACCUAAAGAUGUAAACUAAUUAUCGAAAUGCUAUUGUAGGUACAAUCUUUAAUGCUGUAAAAACAAUUAUGAUAUAUACCCAUUGAUUUUUGGAAGAAUAUAACUUAGAAAUGCCUUGCAAGGGGCUGCCUUUGGCUGAAAAACAAA